This 538-nucleotide ribosomal RNA is filed under the name uncultured bacterium. RNAcentral's name for it is "partial 16S ribosomal RNA". It matches the Rfam family "Bacterial small subunit ribosomal RNA", at positions 355 to 883 of the family's 1533-position model. The record is from RNAcentral.
UGGGGAAUUUUGGACAAUGGGCGAAAGCCUGAUCCAGCAAUGCCGCGUGUGUGAAGAAGGCCUUCGGGUUGUAAAGCACUUUUGUCCGGAAAGAAAUCCUUGGCUCUAAUACAGUCGGGGGAUGACGGUACCGGAAGAAUAAGCACCGGCUAACUACGUGCCAGCAGCCGCGGUAAUACGUAGGGUGCAAGCGUUAAUCGGAAUUACUGGGCGUAAAGCGUGCGCAGGCGGUUUGCUAAGACCGAUGUGAAAUCCCCGGGCUCAACCUGGGAACUGCAUUGGUGACUGGCAGGCUAGAGUAUGGCAGAGGGGGGUAGAAUUCCACGUGUAGCAGUGAAAUGCGUAGAGAUGUGGAGGAAUACCGAUGGCGAAGGCAGCCCCCUGGGCCAAUACUGACGCUCAUGCACGAAAGCGUGGGGAGCAAACAGGAUUAGAUACCCUGGUAGUCCACGCCCUAAAACGAUGUCAACUAGGUUGUUGGGGAUUCAUUUCCUUAGUAACGUAGCUAACGCGUGAAGUUGACCGCCUGGGGGAGUAC